Molecule: ribosomal RNA, 274 nt
Filed under: uncultured bacterium
Lineage: Bacteria
Description: partial 16S ribosomal RNA
Rfam family: Bacterial small subunit ribosomal RNA
Source: RNAcentral
AUACGGAGGGUGCAAGCGUUACUCGGAAUCACUGGGCGUAAAGCGCGCGCAGGCGGCCCGAUAAGUUGGAUGUGAAAGCCUACGGCUCAACCGUAGAACUGCAUCCAAAACUGUCGGGCGAGAGUCUGGGAGGGGAAGAUGGAAUUAGUUGUGUAGGGGUAAAAUCCGUAGAGAUAACUAGGAAUACCAAAAGCGAAGGCGAUCUUCUGGAACAGUACUGACGCUGAGGCGCGAAAGCGUGGGGAGCAAACAGGAUUAGAAACCCUAGUAGUCC